Long non-coding RNA from Chenopodium quinoa (quinoa), 700 nucleotides. RefSeq lists it as uncharacterized. The transcript has 2 exons. NCBI's taxonomy places the organism in Eukaryota, Viridiplantae, Streptophyta, Magnoliopsida, Caryophyllales, Amaranthaceae. The record is from RefSeq and is a predicted model, not a curated record.
UUUCCAUCUUUCUAUUUUUAUAACAUUAUUAAAUCUAACUUUGUUUAAUUCCCGAAAAAACCCACCUUUCAAUUUUUAUUUUUUUUGAAAUUAAAGAAUUCAACUUGAUCUGGGUUUUCUCGGGAAUUAAACGAACUUUUGUUUAAUUUGUUAACUUUUUUCGUAAAUUUUCUGGGUGUUCUUUGUUUGAGCCUUAAUUCAAGCUAACGCGGAAAUCAAAGGGAGAAAGAUCGUGAAAGAGCUCAAGCUCGCAAUUCUAGCAAAACGAAGACGUCUAAAACUGACGGUUUAACACCUGAGCAGCGUCGAGAAAGGGAUGCAAAAGCGUUGCAAGAGAAAUUAGCGAAGAAGAAGGCACAAUCUGAAAGCGAAAGCAAGAAGGAAGUAGUUAAAAUUAGGAAAUAAUUGAUAAUUAUCACCCCCAAAAUUAGUUGGGUUGUAAAUUUUAAUUGAUUUAAUUCUGGGUAAGAAAAUUUUUGGGGGUUUGUAUUGUUGUAACAUUAGUGUGAUUGAUCUGAUCUAGAGUUUAUGGGUUUGAGGAGUUCAAAGGGAGUGUCUUAUUGUCAAGUUAAUUGUAAUGAAGAAUAAUGGUUUGUUUGGCAAAUUCGGCAGUUUGAUCUGGCUUCUGAACCUAAGUUUACAUCUAAUUGUUGAUUGAUAGUGAUUAUCCUUUUGUUUUAUAAAUAUGAUGUUUUAUUUG